This 700-nucleotide ribosomal RNA is filed under the name Pseudomonadota bacterium. Its description in RNAcentral is "bacterial SSU rRNA". It matches the Rfam family "Bacterial small subunit ribosomal RNA", at positions 28 to 723 of the family's 1533-position model. The record is from RNAcentral. Lineage: Bacteria; Pseudomonadati; Pseudomonadota.
AUUGAACGCUGGCGGAAUGCUUUACACAUGCAAGUCGAACGGCAGCACGGGGGCAACCCUGGUGGCGAGUGGCGAACGGGUGAGUAAUAUAUCGGAACGUGCCCAGUCGUGGGGGAUAACGUAGCGAAAGUUACGCUAAUACCGCAUACGAUCUACGGAUGAAAGCGGGGGAUCGCAAGACCUCGCGCGAUUGGAGCGGCCGAUAUCAGAUUAGGUAGUUGGUGGGGUAAAGGCUCACCAAGCCAACGAUCUGUAGCUGGUCUGAGAGGACGACCAGCCACACUGGGACUGAGACACGGCCCAGACUCCUACGGGAGGCAGCAGUGGGGAAUUUUGGACAAUGGACGCAAGUCUGAUCCAGCCAUUCCGCGUGCAGGACGAAGGCCUUCGGGUUGUAAACUGCUUUUGUACGGAACGAAAAAGCCUUGGCUAAUACCCAGGGUCCAUGACGGUACCGUAAGAAUAAGCACCGGCUAACUACGUGCCAGCAGCCGCGGUAAUACGUAGGGUGCGAGCGUUAAUCGGAAUUACUGGGCGUAAAGCGUGCGCAGGCGGUUAUAUAAGACAGAUGUGAAAUCCCCGGGCUCAACCUGGGAACUGCAUUUGUGACUGUAUAGCUAGAGUGCGGCAGAGGGGGAUGGAAUUCCGCGUGUAGCAGUGAAAUGCGUAGAUAUGCGGAGGAACACCGAUGGCGAAGGCA